UGAGGAAUAUUGGUCAAUGGACGGAAGUCUGAACCAGCCAUGCCGCGUGCAGGAAGACGGCUCUAUGAGUUGUAAACUGCUUUUGUACGAGGGUAAACGCAGAUACGUGUAUCUGCCUGAAAGUAUCGUACGAAUAAGGAUCGGCUAACUCCGUGCCAGCAGCCGCGGUAAUACGGAGGAUCCAAGCGUUAUCCGGAUUUAUUGGGUUUAAAGGGUGCGUAGGCGGUUUAGUAAGUCAGCGGUGAAAUUUUGGUGCUUAACACCAAACGUGCCGUUGAUACUGCUGGGCUAGAGAGUAGUUGCGGUAGGCGGAAUGUAUGGUGUAGCGGUGAAAUGCUUAGAGAUCAUACAGAACACCGAUUGCGAAGGCAGCUUACCAAACUAUAUCUGACGUUGAGGC
This 400-nucleotide ribosomal RNA is filed under the name uncultured bacterium. Its description in RNAcentral is "bacterial SSU rRNA". It matches the Rfam family "Bacterial small subunit ribosomal RNA", at positions 355 to 752 of the family's 1533-position model. The record is from RNAcentral.